CGUCCCGGUGAACCCGACGUCACGGAGCGACGCAACGUCACGAGCCGCUCGGCCGGCCGGCGCUGGCGGGCCGCAGGGCGCGGCCGAAUCGGAGCGGCUGGGCUCACGGGACCAGGGGGCCGUGAUACGCUCCCUCCGCGUUCAAACGGCCACUCGAACGUCGGGGCUCGGCACCUCACGGCUCUGACGACCAGCCGCCGCGGCAAAAUUCGGACGCGGGCCAGGGGGCCCGCCUGGCCCGCACGGGAUUCGCGGCGAGCCCGCCACUCGGGGCCGCCUGGUGGGCGCCACGCAGACAAAGCCUGGAGGGCCGGGGAGGCCGUGCACGCGCAGCAUCGGCGUCGGUGUCCAGGGCAAGGGCUCAAGCCGAGACCACACGGUCCCUGGCGAGCCCACGGCCCGGUGUGGGGGCCGACUCCGGUGUCCCGCCGCGGUGGGCCGGCCGUGCCAGGCGCCGCAGCCUCCUCUCCCGGAGGGCCUCCCUCGGGAGGCCCCUGCCCCGGCUCGCCCCCCUCUCUGACGCCGUCGUCCGCAGCCAUCGGGACCCCGCUCUCACCGUCGGCGGCAGGUGUGGACCCCGCUCAGGCCGACAAGGAGCGGCUCGCUCGACGGCACCUCCAGAUCGAGCAUCGUCCACCCACCCAGGCAGGGACACAGCGGCGUGGCCACACGUGGAGGGUCACCCGCGCCCGGAGGCUGAGGGUCACGUGACCGAGGCGCACGGUAGCCGGAACGCCGUCAGCAGAGGAACAUCGCGCGCGUCCCCAACAGAUGCGCCAGGAGACAAGACAGGAAGUGCGAGGCCGCACGGAGCACACACCGCCCGGAGACUUCGCCACCCGCUCGCCCCAUCCGCCUCAGUUCUGACCUGUCACUACGGGCGAGAAGUGCGCGCUGGGUCAGUCCCGGUGACCAGGCCCUGCGGGUCCCCACCCCGUGUGCCCAGAGCCCCGCCUACCGCCUCAGUGAAGAUGAGGAAACAAAGAAAGACAGUAGGAAGUUACUAGGAAGUACGGCUGCGUUCGAGCCAACACACCAGGUGCGCGGGGAGGCCAGGCAGCGUGGCCGCGGGAUACGGACGCGCUGGGUGUGGCCGCGCUGUCCCACCAGCGCUCUGAGCUCGGCGCCCUGUGGACGGCCCCGCCGCUCCCGAUGCCGGCACCUCACGGCGGGCUGCGGAGGGAGGGAUGUCGCGCUCACUCACCUCUGCUGCAGACAGAGCCACACGCCCCACAAAUAAAGCCUCGUGCUGUAAAACAGUAUGGUGUCCACCUAAGUGACAAACGUGUCACAAAGGGCACACUAACAAACCCCCAGGUCCCAUCACGGCAGUCAGACAGACCACCAUCUCCCGCGGGAAGGGCAGCUGACACCGGAGACUGACACAGGACUGCCCCCGUCACUCAGCUCCCCGUCACUCAGUAGGUGACCCUGACCUACCGUGAUGAACGUCUCGCUCCCAGGACUCAGGCCGACCGCGGGAAUACGUACACUGAGCCGCAGACUGGUGUUUUGGCAGCAACAGUUCCUAUGGGAAGUGCAGAUCACAGACACAACGCCAAACACAGGACCACACAGGACAGCAUUAAACUGUCCAAACGGAAUCGCAGCCCAGUUGAGCAACCAGUGUCCUGCAGGACGUUAACCAUGUUCAUGGAGAGCUACAGAUUUAAAGCAAAGUAAAAGCCCCAAUCCAAUUAUUUGGAAUAUCGACUGUUUUCAUACUAAUACCAACGUUUAUACCUAGCUAAACG
Molecule: long non-coding RNA, 1754 nt
Organism: Panthera uncia (snow leopard)
Lineage: Eukaryota; Metazoa; Chordata; Mammalia; Carnivora; Felidae
Exons: 3
Source: RefSeq, a predicted model, not a curated record